CCUACGGGCGGCAGCAGUGGGGAAUAUUGCACAAUGGGGGAAACCCUGAUGCAGCGACGCCGCGUGAGUGAAGAAGUAUUUCGGUAUGUAAAGCUCUAUCAGCAGGGAAGAAAAUGACGGUACCUGAUUAAGAAGCCCCGGCUAUCUACGUGCCAGCAGCCGCGGUAAUACGUAGGGGGCAAGCGUUAUCCGGAUUUACUGGGUGUAAAGGGAGCGUAGACGGUGAUGCAAGUCAGAAGUGAAAGCCCGGGGCUCAACUCCGGGACUGCUUUUGAAACUGUGUGUCUUGAGUGAUGGAGAGGCAGGCGGAAUUCCCAGUGUAGCGGUGAAAUGCGUAGAUAUUGGGAGGAACACCAGUGGCGAAGGCGGCCUGCUGGACAUUAACUGACGCUGAGGCGCGAAAGCGUGGGGAGCAAACAGGAUUAGAUACCCGGGUAGUC
Molecule: ribosomal RNA, 440 nt
Filed under: uncultured bacterium
Lineage: Bacteria
Description: partial 16S ribosomal RNA
Rfam family: Bacterial small subunit ribosomal RNA
Source: RNAcentral